Molecule: long non-coding RNA, 5615 nt
Organism: Stegodyphus dumicola
Lineage: Eukaryota; Metazoa; Arthropoda; Arachnida; Araneae; Eresidae
Source: RefSeq, a predicted model, not a curated record
CGAUGUUUUCUCUUUGCGAUGUUUUCUCCCACGAUGUUUUGUAGCACGACGUUUUCGCCUUGCGUUGUUUUCUCCGCGACGUUUUCGUCCGCGAUGUUUUUGCCGCGAUGUUUUCAGCUGUAACCAAUUGAAGUUAGAAAUAUGUAGUUGCCACAAUGCAUAUUUUUAAUAUCAUGAUUUAUAAAAGGUCAAAAUGAAAUAUUCUGUUUUUGCAUAAUGAAAUGAUAAAAUAAUUAUUCUUGAUUGAGUGUACAACAACAACAACAAAAAUUAUUUGUGCUAAUAAAUAACCAUAUUAAUUUAAAAUAUACAUUUUUACUUCAUUAGAAACAUUUGUCUUUGAAAUCUGCCUUACACUUUAAAAAAAAUAUAAAUAUCUCUUUUCUGUUUUUUAGGAAAUUUAGUUAUGACUCAAACUUUCUAAAUUGCAGCUAACAUGAAGUUUGAUUUAUCCGUGAUAUUACAGUGUAAAUAAAUCAUAACAUUUAUGAGAAUAAAUUAAUAUCCUAUAUAACCAUUGUUGAUUUCAUUGAAACUGCUUAUUACUCAUAAUUUCUUCUAAGUGUUAUAAUAAAAAAUUAUAUAAUCCAAAAGUCCAUGUUUAGUUUCUUAAAUUUACAAAGAUGAGAAACGAUAAAAUUUUAUGCAAGUAAAUCAGUUAUUCAUACAUUAAAAAAAAUCUUUCCUGAUUUCUCUAAGUAAUUUUGGGCCCUUAUGAUUAUUUAUCUGAGGUAAGUUUGUAUUUGCUAUUUUUCAACGUGUCUGUAAUCCUUUACUGUAAAGUAUGAAUUAGGUGUCAUUAAAAUUUACGAAGAAUGUUGUAUAUAUUUUUCAGAGGAAACUGUCACUAGAUUGACAUUACCCGAUAUUACAGAAGUUUAUUUGAAGGAGGUGAAUAUCAAAUUUGGACCGAGAAAGCAUAUUAUGCAAACAAUGAACAGAAUAAAGGUAACAAUGUAUUUUCAAUUACAGAAUAACAGUGAUCUGAAAGGCCAUUUUCGUCUUUUUAUUGACCAUUAGUGCAAGCCAUUUCUUCAUCUGUAAUAUCUAGAGAUGAAAUAUGCCCCACUGAAAAGGUCUGUGUAGAAGAUGCAAGUGCCAUUCGGCCUCAGGAUAUACAAAGAAAACAGGCUUCUUCAGACACACCCAAAAUACAUAAUCAGUAUACUUUAAGCAAGCUGAUAAAAUUUGUAUCUUAAUUUUAAUUACGUAAAAAGAUUAAGUGAUUUAUUAGUCAGUAAUUUAAAAUUUUCUCAAUCUUUUUAGGAUACUUUGGAUAUUAGACAUUGGGUUAGCAGUCACUCACAAGGAAAACAGCUCUGAGACAACUUGGAUAGGGGCUACUACAAGAUUGAUUAUAGACGGCUACUAAUUAGGAUAGUCUGCUCAAAAUGAGUAAAGUUAUGUGGAUCUGAAUAAUGUGGAUGAAAUUAAAAAAUUCCAUACAUCCCAACAGAAAGAAAAUUUAAGAUGUAACAAUGGUUGGUAGACAAGCUGGAAUAAGAGAUUCAGCCAUGACCGUAACAGGUGUUCUAGAGAGAUAUCAUAGACUUCAAGAUUAUAGAGGAAAUAUGGGAAUAGAAGACCUGGAGUCACUUUCAACAACUGGGAACAAAGAGACCAUUCUGAUGUGUUAGUCUACCAAAAUUCACAGGAUCAUUUUACAUCAAAGCAGAUUUUAUUGUAAAGAGAAGACAUUUAAUUCAAUCUUUGAUAUUUAUAUAUAUGUGAGAUUGAAUUAUAUAUAUGUGAUAAAAGGACUUUGCAAUACUGAUGUUGUAGAACAUAGAAUGUUGAAUCCGUUAUGAGCAGCAAGAAUUUUGAUGGCGUAGAAUGCUGAGAUGUUGAUUUAUAAUGAAUAAGAAACUGGCAACCGAGGAAGAUUAAAUCUUAAUUUUUAUUUCAGGAAACAUUUUGCGGCCAAAAUUUGGCACAUUAAUUAUGCCUAUUUCAACAUUUUUACAUUUUUGACAGCUUUGCAGUACGAAAAGAGUAGCAGGCAGCAGUCUAGUUAUGCUAUGUAGAAAAAAGUUAACAUUUUAAAUUUACUUGUACACACAUAUAUUUUGACUUACUCUUAAAGUUGUAUCACUCAUUGAGAAACACAGAGAACACUGAACAACUGGGGCUGGACAACAACAUUAAAAUAAAAGUAAACUCAUAUAAUAUCUGAUGGUGGUGACUAUAGUUAAAACAAAACACGUAAAUCAUCAACAUUGUAAAAUAAAUUAUAUUAUUUCAAAGCUCAAACUCCAUAACACAAUACUGAAUAGAUAAUACCCUCUCCGGAGUUUUGGUACAAAAUCGAAAGAUUAUUUUCCAAUAAAAUGCAAAAUGUGAAAAAUGCAAUUCACUAUUAAAUUGUACAAAUGCUAUCUCUCAUUAAAAAAUACUGAAUCCUCUGUCUUACCUGAAAACACGUAAAUCUCAGUACAACAAUUUCUAAACCCUAUAGAUAGCCACAAACACUUUUCAUUUAAAUAUAAACACAGAGCGUCUGAAAACACCAGCUAAGGAAUAACCACACAAGUAAGGUUCAAUCACCAGUUCAAAUAAAAUAAAAAAAUCCGAUCGUAUAGUACAAAUACACAUAAAAUUAAUUUCCCAAUUACAUCUCCUCUAUAACUUUACUUCCCAGGUUCGUUUAAAGAAUCCAUGUUUUGCGUAAGGAUCACAUGGGAGACAUGAAAUACAUAUAAAAUAACUCAAAUAAAACAUACAAUACUUAAUCACUAAACACGUUUAUUAAAUUUUCUAGAAUACCAUAAAUUAAGAUAGCUGGCCAGACUACACCUAUAAAAACAAUAUUUUAAAAAUACUCACAGUUUCACAUUUGACAUUCUAAAUAAUGACCAAUAUUCUGCCAAAUUAUUGGUAAUGUACUCUAAUUAUGUAAUUAUCACUCAUUUUCUUUCUGAAAUUUCUCUAUUUAACGGUUAUUUUUCUUUGUUUCAAAAUUUUCUUAUAAAUUAUUGCUUGUGUUUUAGUAAUGACUGAAAAUUUCGUUAUUGAUAAUGUGUAACUAAGAUUAAAAAACAGAAAAUAAAAUACAAUUAAGAAACAGUUUUUACGCAAUAAGGUUUUUAUUUAAAAUGGGUAUGAUAAUUAAUGCUAUAAAAAGGGACACUAAUUUAUCAUAUAGUUUAACGGAAGUAAUAAAUAAAGUAAUUUUAUUACAGAAUUCAUCUACAAUUUUAUAUUGUGAAUAAUAAAAGCAUAGGGUGUUUAAAUAAUAAAAUCUAUCAAUUUAAUUGAACUGUCAAAUGUAUAAGCCAUUAUCUUUUUAACUUUAUCAAAUUUAAAACCCCAUGCGUUUUUCAUUCGCAAUAUAAAAUUGCAAAUGAAUUCUGUAAGAAGAAUUAUUUAAUUUAUUAUUCCCAUUAAACUGCAUUGUAAAUUAUAUUUCUGUUUUAGAGAUUUAGUUAUGACAUCAAUUUUAAAUAAAAGCUUAUUGCAUAAAAACCUUUUUUAAUUCCAUUUAUCAGAAAGUUUUUUUAUGUAUUACUUUUAUCAAUUUGCAUCUAAGUUAUUCUAUUUAUGGAAAUAUUUGAACUAUGCCGUGCGUUGAGUUCUUAAACAUGUUUUUGUAAUAUCAAUAAAAUUGUAAAAAUAAUCAUCAUCUUCCAUGCAAGAUAUAUACAAGUUGUAGCACUAUUAUCAGAGCAUUUUGGGAGUUCAGUAUUUUAAGUAUGUUAUACAGAAAUAUAAAUGUAGAAUUAGACAAAUUUGUCAAGUUUAUAAUACAAACAUGUGAAAGUUUUAUCACCCUUCGUCUAAAGGUAUAACCAGAUAACAGUUGUAAUUCUUGCCCAGUCUUUGACUAGUUUCUCUGGGUCUCCAUUAAUUGACAUGCUGAUCACUGCGACAAGACUUAGAUUGUUGUCUGUAUGUAUGUCAUGUGUUCAAAAGUAUGUGCUUUGAAUUGUAAACUUGGGGAAUCAUUUUUUUAUUAUACUUAUUUUCAAGAUUCUAUGUAAGAUAAUCAGCUUUCAAUCAUUUCAUUAUAUCCUAUAUAAUAUGAAUUAAUGCAAUUAAAUAUGUGUGUAAUAUAAAUAAUGUUCCGUGUAAAUAUAUAUAGUGCAAUAAUAAGCAUCCAUAAUGUAAUUCCAGUCCAUGUGCAUUUAAAGUAAUGUAGUACAGUAAUGAAGAUGCAAUUCAAACUAGAUAUAAAAUAUGUAAAAAUAAUGAAUAAGAAUUAUAUACAGGGUGUCUCAAAAGGUCGUUACCAAACUUAACAUGAUGGUCUGCCAUACCAUAAUAAACAAGAUUUACGUAGAAACUGGUGUCGGAAAAUGCGAACGGCGACCGAAAGCGAGCAAUGUUCUCAGGCUUAUGAGAAAAUGGGCAGCGUAAUCAUUUCAGGCAAGGAUGUUGCAGGAGUCGCUUUACUAAAUCAGAAUUGGCCAAUAUGUAUUACAUGUAUGAUGCCGCGGAUGGAAAUGGACGAGCCGCGGUACGCAUAUACCUCAAGUGCUUUCCAAACAGACGCCAGCCAAGUCGUGCUUUGUUUGCACAAUUACAUCGCAGAUUGCGUGAGGCGGGAGCUUUUCAAGUAACCAUAUCGGCUGAGAACGCACACACAUAUCGCAGAGGAAGCUGAGCUAUGGGGAUUUGAGAAGAACACGGAAACACGUCUCCGAGCAACCGAGCGCGUUUUGCGUGUGUAUCGCUAUGCGCGUACUGGAUUAAGACAGGCUACACACCUACCACGUCGAAACAGUACAGGCAUUGUGCGAUGACGAUUAUCUCCCAACGCACUACAUUCGCACUUUGGUAUUUAUUUGCACAAACGGAUCGCGCAGCCGGAUUUUCCAUCGUGGAUUUUGUUUCCCGAUGAAGCCUUUUUUUAACACGGGACGGUGUUCUAAACCUUCACAACAUGCACGUGUGGGUGCAUGAAAACCCAAGGUUUACACGUGCCCUGGAAGUUAACAACGUUGCAUCAUAAACAUCUGGGCUGUUAUUAUCGGUGUUAACUGAUCCUUACGUACUACCUCAACGCCUUGACGGGAAAACCUAUCACACGAUUUUAGAAAGAGUGUUGGCGGAUCUGAUGAUUGACGUUCCAGCAACUACAUGCCGAAACAUCUGGUUUCAGCAGGAUGGAGCGCCUGCACAUUUUAGCAACCUGUGCGGGAAUACCUCGAUAGGACAUAUCCUGGUCUCUGGAUUGGCAGAGGUGGAACUAUCGAAUGGCCACCCCGAAACCCGACCUGACUCUCCUGGAUUUCUACAUGAGGGGAUACAUGAAGUGCAUGGCGUGCGAGACGAUCAAAGCAUUGGACAUGGUUCUUGUCUCCAGGACCGCCCUCUUCCCAUUUUGAACGGGUUCGUGAAUCCAUGAGUCAGUAUUGAGAAGCAUGUAUUGUGGAGGAUGGAAACCAUUUUGAAUAUCUUCUGUGAUUUAACCAUGUUAUUGAAUGAAAGUCAUAUUAACACCUCUUUCGAUAUUCCUUUUUUGUCCCCUUCUACACCUGCGAACAUUGCCCUCUAACGGUCACCGUUCGCAAUUUAGGAUACAAAUUGAACUGCAUUUUACUUUGUAUUUAUUCCCUUAUAUAUAUGUGUGUAUGUACGUAUAUUACAUUUUCUAAUAAAGAGCUUUUCAUGUAUUA